This 117-nucleotide ribosomal RNA is filed under the name Deltaproteobacteria bacterium. Lineage: Bacteria; Pseudomonadati; Myxococcota; Myxococcia. The record is from RNAcentral.
CCCGCCGUCUAUAGAGCGGGGGCCACACCCGAUCCCAUCCCGAACUCGGAAGUUAAGCCUCGCUUCGGCGAUGGUACUGCCGGGCUUACCCGGUGGGAGAGUAGCGCGACGGUGGGU